AGCUUUGCGCAGUGGCAGUAUCAGAGCCAAUGAGGUUUAUCCAAGGUGCGAUUAUUGCUAAUUGAAAACUUUUCCCAAUACCCUGCCGGGACGACUUGAAAAAUAGUCAGCAUUGGCAAUUUUUGACAGUUUCCACAGAAU
Molecule: small nuclear RNA, 141 nt
Organism: Balaenoptera musculus (blue whale)
Lineage: Eukaryota; Metazoa; Chordata; Mammalia; Artiodactyla; Balaenopteridae
Gene: U4
Rfam family: U4 spliceosomal RNA
About the family: U4 small nuclear RNA (U4 snRNA) is a component of the major U2-dependent spliceosome.
Source: Ensembl